AGGGGGGAGAAUUUCAGGUGUAGCGGUGAAAUGCGUAGAGAUCUGAAGGAAUACCAGUGGCGAAGGCGGCCCCCUGGAACAGAUACUGACACUCAGAUGCGAAAGCGUGGGGGCAAACAGGAUUAGAUACCCUGGUAGUCCACGCCGUAAACGAUGUCUACUUGGAGGUUGUGGCCUUGAGCCGUGGCUUUCGGAGCUAACGCGUUAAGUAGACCGCCUGGGGAGUACGGUCGCAAGAUUAAAACUCAAAUGAAUUGACGGGGGCCCGCACAAGCGGUGGAGCAUGUGGUUUAAUUCGAUGCAACGCGAAGAACCUUACCUACUCUUGACAUC
Molecule: ribosomal RNA, 333 nt
Organism: Vibrio genomosp. F10
Lineage: Bacteria; Pseudomonadati; Pseudomonadota; Gammaproteobacteria; Vibrionales; Vibrionaceae
Rfam family: Bacterial small subunit ribosomal RNA
Source: Rfam